Molecule: transfer RNA, 96 nt
Filed under: Paraburkholderia fungorum
Lineage: Bacteria; Pseudomonadati; Pseudomonadota; Betaproteobacteria; Burkholderiales; Burkholderiaceae
Description: tRNA-Sec
Rfam family: Selenocysteine transfer RNA
Source: RNAcentral
GGAAGGCAUUCGCAUCCGGUGGUGCGGCUGGAUUUCAAAUCCAGUUGAGGGCGUCAGACGCUCUCAGGUCGGUUCGACUCCGGCUGCCUUCCGCCA